Molecule: non-coding RNA, 1500 nt
Organism: Paramisgurnus dabryanus
Lineage: Eukaryota; Metazoa; Chordata; Actinopteri; Cypriniformes; Cobitidae
Source: RefSeq, a predicted model, not a curated record
UUUUGUUGUUGAGAGUGUGAGAGCCAGAGAUGCAUCGACCAGUAAAGGUGCUGUUUAGAUACAGUGCACAUUUUUUGUUUGGAUAAAAGCUCACAGAAACUGAAACCAGAUGUAUGCAGCUUUGCCAGGCGUGGAGCACCAGCGUAAACCAGCUAAGACCACUCUUCUAAGCUUUCAGCCUGGUAAAGCUGGUUUUUCGAUCUGAACAGCUAAAAGUGGACUCUAAAAACCUCUCUAAAACCAGCCUGCUACACCAGCUAAAACCAAACUGGGAGACCAGGUCAACUUAGGUCCACGUGCUCAUCUCCACUCAAACCUUUGCAGAGAAAUGAAACAAUAACUGCAUGAUUGAUCUACAGUCGCCACCUGGUGGUGAUAAAAAUGAAUAGCAUUAAUAGAAAGUAUGACUUCAACAUAUUUUUGGUGGUAUGGUACAGUGCUUUAUAUAGAUUAAUGGUAUAUGGUACAGUCUUCUUUAGCUUAAAGGUAAAUAUAACAGUGAAUGAAGAUAAUUCUUAAACUGUGUGUAGAUGUUCAAUAAAGUUUAGAGUAUCAGUGAAGCAAGUUUGAGAGAUUUCUACAUAAAAUCUAUAGACCAUUUCAAAAGAUGUAAACAACACUUGUCCAGAAGAACUUCCUGUUUCAGUUUUUUAACACUAAAUAAAAGUUGGGAUAAAAUACAACCAACAGAACCAACAUAGAACGGAGUCAAAAAGUUAAACAAACAUCUUAAAGAUAAUGAUCUGUGUGUGAAAUUAAAAAAACAGUCACAAACUGAAAAAGGAAGUGCUUCUGGACCAGUAUUGUUUACAUCUUUUGAAAUGGUCUAUAAUGUAAAAAAUAUAAUCUUGAUAUCUUUAAUAAGGUAAAAAAAAUUAAUAAGGUCUAUCUCUAUUUAUAGUUGUAUUAUGCCACAUUUAACCUCCUAAGACCUGGAUGUCACGUAUGUGGACAUCAAUGUUUUUGUUGUUUGCACCAUAAUACUUAAUUCUGUGUAACUGGAACCUCUUAUACACAAACAUGGACAAAUACACUGCUUCAUGUUCAAAGAAAAAUAUUUGGUUAUUAUAUUUAUUGGAUCCCCAAAAUAGCUGGUAGAAAUCUGAAAAAAAAAGACAAACCAAAGCUCGAUCUUAGGAGGUUAAUUUAGGCUUCAUGUUAUCUGACCAAAGAUAGGAGAUUGUUGCAUAAAAUUGGUUUGGGGGCAGAAAAAAUUAUUUUGGUAGUGGAAACAUUUUUUAAGAUCUUUUCCUCUCAUCUCAUUCAGUAUUUUGUCCACCACCAUGACCCUUUAGUCUCUGUGGUGGUUCUUCAUGAGUCAACAUGUCAAAUGUCCUUUAAUGUUUUUGGGAAUUAUAGUGUUUAGUGAAUUUAACCCUGCAGUAAACCCAGCAAUAUGUAACUCUGUUGAUGCUUUAACUGCUGUAAGGGAUGAGGGAUUAUAAUCUUACUUAAUGUCUGUUAUUGACUGACUGCCAAUGUUUAACUAUUUGAUAUGCG